Molecule: long non-coding RNA, 1701 nt
Organism: Peromyscus leucopus (white-footed mouse)
Lineage: Eukaryota; Metazoa; Chordata; Mammalia; Rodentia; Cricetidae
Exons: 3
Source: RefSeq, a predicted model, not a curated record
CUCCUUGGGCAAUCUAAAGAAGUGGGUAGAUGCCCCUGGUGUAGCUGAACCAGUGAGGGAUCUUAGUAUACUGAUUCGUCAUGGGAGAGCAAAUUCAGAAACCGUGGUGCCUCCGUCACCUCAGACCACCUCCUCUUCCGAUUUGUACCAAUUCCUCUGUUUGAGCUUUAAACCCUGGGUCCAGUGGGGCUGUGACAGAUGUCAGAAGUGGGGGUUACUGAAGUCAGAAAAACCAAUGACUAAGAGCCCACAGAUAUGACAGCUGGGGCAAAGAAUCUCAGCCGGGGAACCUGAGGGACAGUCUAGACUCCUGGACAGUGUCACAUACCACAGCGGUGGCAGGUGCCAGGCCAGCACACAGAUCUGCCUCCUGCUCCACAUAGUCGUCUACUUGGUGCCUUCCCCAUCCAGAGCCAGUCACAAAUGGACUCUAUUUUCCACCGGUGAAUAAGCUGAGGGCCAGCAGGAGAGGACAGAACACGGGGCUUCCUGUACUGGACCCCGGGGAAGGGAAAUGGCUCUGUGAGAAACAAGUGCAGAGUCUCGAUCCCUUAGCAAGAAUGUCCUGCGCCAGCCUGCCCAGGUUUGAGUCCUGGCUCUGCCACUUGAUGCUCUAACACUGGGCAAGCCACCCUCCAGGAAGCUCGGGUUCUUCAUCUGUGUUCUGGGGGUAAUGAUUUCCACUUCUCAGGGGCGUCCCAAGAACUGAUGAAGGUCUGUAAGGACUGAGGUUUCCCUCUCAAGAUACUGCGGUCCAGAUGUUUGAACAACCACCUCCUUUACAGCCUACAUGAGAACACGUGCAAGUAAUUUCUGCCAGCGCUAAUUGCAAGAGCAAAAGGAGUCCCCGGCGCCUAAUUGGAGGGUGUAAAUGGGGACGGCAUAUGAAAAGCCUGACGUGUUGCCAGUGGAAUCUAUGCUGGAGGUACCCGAGACCGAGGACUUCAAUCCCUCCAGGCCUGCCCCGCCUGCCGGAUAUUCCACUAAGCCAAGGAAAAAACAACCCUUGUGUCCUGAGGGCAGACUUUAUGGCGUAUGCAUGUCAUGUUCUCACCCAUCCAACUGUUACCGGUUCUUGUGAUCCUCCUACUCUAUUUGCUCUUUAUGAUUUUCUUUCUCUCUCCUGCGGUGGCUUCCAUGACAUUAGAAAUGAUUCUGAGAUUGUGACAACGGCAGGAAUUAAAGCUCUUAUGCAGGUCAUGGGGAAAACCCAGAAGGCUGGUGGCAGAAAACCUAGAUGGAGUGACACAUAGAUAGGAUACAAGACAAGAGCUGUCCAGAACUAGUCAGAAGACAGCUUGACGAGUUACAGAGAGAUGAAGAAGGACUUAAGCUGGGAGGAAGCUGAAGUCUGGAACCUUAAACCAUUGCUUGUAUUUCUGGGCUUUCUGAGAAACCGCAAGUAGAUGGCCUCUGGGAUGAUAACCUCAGAUGUUCUGAUAAUUAUUAACCUGUGAAAUAAGCUGAUAUACUUUGGCUUUCUUCCUGGGAGCUAUGUGCAAUCAAGGGGCACGGGGUACACUUUGCUGAUUUCCAAAAAGAACUUUCGAAACUACUGUGAAAAACCCAAUCACCUGCUGAAUGUUCUCAUCCCCUAUUUCCUUGUAUUAUUACAAUAAAAGACUAGAGUUGAGUCGGAUCGGGAGAAGGCAGAGAAGACACACAUCUCCAGAUCUGACAAGACUCGUCAGCUUGCACCAA